This is a long non-coding RNA of Cornus florida, 447 nucleotides long. RefSeq lists it as uncharacterized. The record is from RefSeq and is a predicted model, not a curated record. Lineage: Eukaryota; Viridiplantae; Streptophyta; Magnoliopsida; Cornales; Cornaceae. The transcript is spliced from 2 exons.
UUUCCCCUCAAUUCGUGCAUCUCGCUAGCUUCCUCCCCUUUCUUGGAUUUGGGGAGAUUAAAGAGUGUUUUUGGUGAUGCCAUAGAGAGAAAGUUGAUGAGCUUGAAGAGGGUUCAAAAUUUGGCGUAGCCUUAGGCCUUGUUUGGCUAACCACUUUAAGGUCAUGGCAAAGAAGUGGCGGACGACAAUCCACUACCAGUUUAGUCGGGUUGACGGAUCUGGACUCUUUUGUUCUUAAUGUGUAUAUUAACCCUUUUGUUGUAAAUAAUAUUAGGGAUCAUUUUCUAUCUUCCACAUGGUUGGAAAUGGUCUUGAGACCAUUCUCUUGUACUUUGUGGUCUCAUUAUGAUUUCAAUAUUCAUGUAAGGCCUCAAAGCCAUAUUUUUUAUGUAUGACGGAUUUGCUUAAUUUUAAUGAUGUAUCGGACUCAUGUAUGGUCUUAUUCUA